AUGGCUAAAGGCGGCAAGGCCAAAAAAGGCCCGGCGAGCGGCGGUCAGCCACCGCCUCAGAUAAGCCACCUUGUUCUGUUUCAAGGUGAGGCCUACGAGCUCCUGUCAAGCUACACAACAACGCAUCCUGCCCGUGUGGACACCGACCAACCGGUCGGCCAGUCAGCAGUCCCCGCCAAGGAACCAGAGCAGCUCGGCCCCUCGACGCGACGCCUCGUCUUUUCUCUGGCGGAUGCUCUAGACGACCUGGUUAACUCCGCCAUCUGCUUGGAGAAGCUCGAGGACACUCGAGUCGCCGUUACGCCUGAUGGCCGGAUAAAGUUUGUCGAAGCCAUUUUCGUGGAGAGAAAGGAUCUGCCCAGCCUAAGGGAGUUCAAGAUCAGGGUGGCAGAGAAUUACAACGACCUCGCCGGCAUAAUCACCCGCUACUUGUCUCCCGUGUCGCACUGCAUCCCGGCGGAGGUCACGCAUCUGCUCUACUUGAUGAGGAACAGAGCGUGGGAGAUGAGGUAUCUGAUCACCUACCACUCUGCCACAGUGCCUCUGGGGAACCGGUCGGACCUCUUUCUCAUAAUGCAUAGCUAUGUGUGGGAGGUGCUGAGAAAGACUGACCCUGGGGGGUAUGAGUAUGUCAUGGCAAGUCUUGAGUAUGAUCCUGAUUGGAGGAAUGCGGUCGUUAAUAACGAGCAUUUGCAGAAGUACUACUAUGCAGACGGAGGCGGGUUAUAUGAGAGCAAUGCACAGCUGCAGGGAGACGAGCAUCGCCAAGUGAUGAGGUUCAAUCAUGAUGGCCAGAGUCACCCUCUCGAGCAUGCCGCCGACUCAUCAGCACCAAGUGGGAUGCUUUACAAUCCGGUGCAAUUGGGCCACAUGUAUCACGCCAACUUCGCACGGCUUACAUACUCGAUGCAAGCAGCCCUGCAUGCCAUUGAUCGCCUCAGGUGUGUUGGGAUCAAGUCUCUCUUCUCCAACGAUUCAAAGGAGUAUCAAGAGAUACGGUAG
RNAcentral lists this ribosomal RNA (1002 nucleotides) under Triticum aestivum (bread wheat). Its description in RNAcentral is "partial small subunit ribosomal RNA". The record is from RNAcentral. Lineage: Eukaryota; Viridiplantae; Streptophyta; Magnoliopsida; Poales; Poaceae.